Carassius auratus (goldfish) is the source of this 364-nucleotide long non-coding RNA. RefSeq lists it as uncharacterized. The transcript is spliced from 3 exons. NCBI's taxonomy places the organism in Eukaryota, Metazoa, Chordata, Actinopteri, Cypriniformes, Cyprinidae. The record is from RefSeq and is a predicted model, not a curated record.
GGCAGACAGACGCACGUGAGAACGUCGUGCUCGCGUGAGCUGGUAACCAUAGCAACACCCGGCCGACGAUUUAAGUUUUUCAAAUUGAGGAAUUGUUUUUUUCGUUCCUUAACAGUUACACAAAACAGCUACUGAGAAACGACUUAAGGUCAAAGAGACACCUAUCGCCAUGAACGCAGUAAAGCUAGUGAAGUUAGAGAAAUCCUGCUGUCCUGGUCACUGCAGGUCCCGAGCAGUUUUCAGAUUACUCAUUAAUGUGCACGGGACAGAUGGAAACAACAGAGCUUCAUCGCCAGCUGCCUCCAUCAUCCAUCCAGUCGGUGUGGAACAUCAUCAGAUGAGAUGUCACACAGACACUCAGGAA